UUGGCCGCUAGCUUAUUGUCCGCUAGCUUGACUUAGGAUUUGAAUUUUUCCUUUCUACCAAAGGAAGACAAUUCCUAGCCAUAUGAAUGAAGUAGGAAGAUGGUACUCUGUCAGUGAGGACAAAGACAAACACAUGAUGACACAUGCUGAUGAGAAACCUUACAAAUGUGAUGUCUGUGGAGAGGCAUUCAAUAGAACAGGAAUCUUACAGAAACACAUGAGGACACAUACUGGUGAGAAACCUUACAUAUGUGAUGUCUGUGGGAAGGCAUUUAAUAGGACAGAAAUCUUAAAGAGUCACAUGAGAACACAUACUGGUGAGAAACCUUACAUAUGUGAAGUCUGUAGGAAGGCAUUUAGUCAGACAGGACACUUACGGAGACACAUGAUGAUACAUACUGGUGAGAAACCUUACAAAUGUGAAUUCUGUGGAAAGGCAUUUUGUCAUACAGGAAACUUACAGAGACACAUGAGGACACAUACUGGUGAGAAACCUUACAAUUGUGAAGUCUGUGGGAAGGCAUACAAUGACACAGGACACUUACAUACACAUAUGAGGACACAUACUGGUGAGAAACCUUACAAAUGUGAUGUCUGUGGGAAGGCAUUUAAUAGGACAGAAAUCUUAAAGAGUCACAUGAGGACACAUACUGGUGAGAAACCUUACAAAUGUGAUUUCUGUGGGAAGGCGUUCAGCAACAGAGAAAACUUUAAGCAACACGUUAGGACACAUACUGGUGAGAAACGUUACAAAUGUGAAGUCUGUGGGAAGGCAUUUAGUCAGACAGGAAACUUACAGAGACACAUGAGGACACAUACUGGUGAAAAACCUUACAAAUGUGAAGUCUGUAGGAAGGCAUUUAGUGAUACAGGAACCUUACAGAGACACAUGAGGACACAUACUGGUGAGAAACCUUACAUAUGUGAUAUCUGUGGGAAGGCAUUCAUUGACACAGGGCACUUACAUGCACAUAUGAGGACACAUACUGGUGAGAAACCUUACAAAUGUGAUGUCUGUCGGAUGGCAUUCAAUCAGACAGGAGACUUAAAGAGACACAUGAGGACACAUACUGGUGAGAAACCUUACAAAUGUGAUGUCUGUCAGAUGGCAUUCAAUCAGACAGGAGAUUUAAAGAGACACACGAGGACACAUACUGGUGAGAAACCUUACAAAUGUGAUGUCUAUGGGAAGGCGUUCAAUCAGACACAACACUUACAGAAACAUAUGAGGACACAUACUGGUGAGAAACCUUACAAAUGUGAUGUCUGUGGGAAGGCAUUCGCUAGAACUGGAAGCUUACAGAAACACAUGAUGAUGCAUACUGGUGAUUAACCCAGGAAAUGUGAUGUAUGUGGAAGGGCAUUAGAACAGGAGACUUGCAGACACACACGAGGAUACAUACUGCCAUAGCGAAGUUGACCUACAGCACAUCAUCACAGAGAGACCGUGGUACAGUGUAUUAUUUCAGGAACAUUCUUAAUGCCAGAAAUGUGACAUGACGUGAAAAAUGCCUUUCGGGGCUACAAAAUGCUUUACUACACGAUUUUUGAUGCAAUCUGCUGCAUUAUGUUCUUGAAUGAAUUUGACAAGAAUGAAUUGGAAUCAGAAAUAAAAUUACCAGAUGGUUUCCUUGACCAAAGUGAUGAAAGCAAAAUAUCUUGGAUGAAUUACUUGUGCAGCAGAAUAGUUCACAAAUGGUUUUUCGAUAGCAAGAAUGAUAUAUUUUGUGAACUAAGACAUAUUCUAGAGGAUCCAAAUCACCGAGAAAACUACUGGGUAAACACGGAGGAAAAUGGUCGUUUCAAAUGUCAUUUUUGCGAAAAGACAUUUGCUUUUGUAGGAAGUUUGAAAAGACAUUUGCUUUUGUAGGAAGUUUGAAAACGCACGAAUCUGUGAAACACCAGCAUGUUACGAAGACUCCGGGAAAAAAACCACGACUCGUACUAGUAAGGAGGACGAAUUAAUGAACCAUAUGGUUCUUAUAUUCAAACUCAUAGCUUUACUCAAGAACCUUGACACUGCUAUUGAUAUGGCAGAUGGUUGCAGAUCUGUGAGGUCCGCAAAGUAUGAGAUGCCAAUAUUCAAUCGGACAAACAAAGUCAAGUAUGUCAUUGGAUGUGUACAGCUUAUUGACUUGACUGAACACACUUUGAUUGGGCAGCAGAGGGAGCGCUUGAUAGCUAAUCGGACAGUAAAUGUACAGGGUGGAAGCAACAAUAACAUCGCUUUAGAUGAGUAUCUAGAAAUCAUCAACCGAGACAGCAAAAACAUUGUAUCUGGACAUCAGACAAAGGAGAGCAUUAUCAAGCAUUCCAAGCAGUUUCCACAUUUAGUCAAUUACGUGAAGCACUUUGAUAUUGUUUCCGAGAUUAAAGCGCGGAAGGGAUUUCACAAACUCCCAAACUAUAAGACAGAUGUAGCAAAAGUUAUCAAAGAAUUUCUAGAUAUCAAAUGCUUAGUGUUUCAUCCAGAGAGAAAAUUACAUUGUAGAGAUCUCUGUGUGGACAGGGACCCCUUUUACAAUUCGGAAAAAGGGUUAUCAACUAUGAUCCAUAGACACAAACCACUGACUCCCUUCAGUCGAUUGAGGAAUAAAACAUUCUAACAUGUAAAUUGCCUUUGUAAUACAUGUACUAUUACAUGUACAUGUAUUAAUAAAUAAUUGUUGAUGUAGUUUUCAGUUCCAUAUUUGUUCAAGGGAAGUUACUGUUUCUUUUAUGGGCAGUUAAGGUAGCUCACUACACCAAGGCUUGCAAUCUUAUAUGACACUAUGUCACAAGAUGACGAUUUUUUAAAAUCCAAAAUUACAUAUUUUCUGCAUUUUUGGCACAUGUACUUAUUAUAUAUCAUCAUAUCAUUCAUAAUUAAAUCAUUUUGUACUAAUUUGAAAUUUUUUUAAAGGCAUAAUGAGUCCCCUAACACGCUUAAGGGUCUUCAAAACAGGAAACUCAUCUUGGUGAUGUUCUACUAGAAAAACAAAAUAUAAAGAACAUUGUGGUACAAAUUUUGCAGAAUUGCAGCUGAAAUGGAAAUUUUUUAGUAGGACAUUGAAUUUCUUUUCAAUUGAAUUAUCUCUGUAUAAUUGAUUAUCCUUAAUGCUAAGACUAUUGUAUUCAAUAUUUUUGUGUUGAAAAUGGAACUUGUAAGAAAUUCAUUAUCAUUCAAUUCCUAGAUGGACAAAACGGAAGGUAGAUUCCAAUGCUAUUAUUCACUUUUAACGUCUUCCAUCUCCUCCCUCAAACAAUCACUCUCCCUCAAUGUAUUUUAUUAUUUCCUGUAUGAAUGUACUGUAUACUGCAAAAUGUGUUGUCCUUAUUUUGCCCAAUUUGGUCCUCAGGACAGUAGAAGGCUUUCAGUCAUAAUUUUCAACGAUAAAAUGCAAAAAAAAAAGUUAACACAGAUCAAACAAGUUUACAGUAUAUUUACAGAACAUUAACAACUAUUUAAAAUGGUCAAAGACUACAUUCUUCUACAUCACAGGCUUCAAAAGUUUCACAAAUUUCAUUAUCACUGAAGCGGUUGUCAUCAGAAAUAUCAUACUCAUAAUCUACAGUGUCACUUCCACUGGAAAUAUCAGAAUUCACAUAUUCAU
Ostrea edulis (European flat oyster) is the source of this 3593-nucleotide RNA transcript. It is a transcript of the gene named zinc finger protein 93-like, with no coding region annotated. NCBI's taxonomy places the organism in Eukaryota, Metazoa, Mollusca, Bivalvia, Ostreida, Ostreidae. The record is from RefSeq and is a predicted model, not a curated record. The transcript has 3 exons.